RNAcentral lists this ribosomal RNA (1059 nucleotides) under Halomonas sp. NCCP-970. RNAcentral describes it as "bacterial SSU rRNA". It matches the Rfam family "Bacterial small subunit ribosomal RNA", at positions 56 to 1102 of the family's 1533-position model. The record is from RNAcentral. Lineage: Bacteria; Pseudomonadati; Pseudomonadota; Gammaproteobacteria; Oceanospirillales; Halomonadaceae.
UGCAAGUCGAGCGGAACGAUCCUAGCUUGCUAGGAGGCGUCGAGCGGCGGACGGGUGAGUAAUGCAUAGGAAUCUGCCCGGUAGUGGGGGAUAACUUGAGGAAACUCAAGCUAAUACCGCAUACGCCCUACGGGGGAAAGCAGGGGCUCUUCGGACCUUGCGCUAUCGGAUGAGCUUAUGUCGGAUUAGCUGGUUGGUGAGGUAACGGCUCACCAAGGCGACGAUCCGUAGCUGGUCUGAGAGGAUGAUCAGCCACAUCGGGACUGAGACACGGCCCGAACUCCUACGGGAGGCAGCAGUGGGGAAUAUUGGACAAUGGGGGCAACCCUGAUCCAGCCAUGCCGCGUGUGUGAAGAAGGCCCUCGGGUUGUAAAGCACUUUCAGCGAGGAAGAAUGCUUGUCGGUUAAUACCCGGCAAGGGAGACAUCACUCGCAGAAGAAGCACCGGCUAACUCCGUGCCAGCAGCCGCGGUAAUACGGAGGGUGCGAGCGUUAAUCGGAAUUACUGGGCGUAAAGCGUGCGUAGGCGGCUUGAUAAGCCGGUUGUGAAAGCCCCGGGCUCAACCUGGGAACGGCAUCCGGAACUGUUAGGCUAGAGUGCAGGAGAGGAAGGUAGAAUUCCCGGUGUAGCGGUGAAAUGCGUAGAGAUCGGGAGGAAUACCAGUGGCGAAGGCGGCCUUCUGGACUGACACUGACGCUGAGGUACGAAAGCGUGGGUAGCAAACAGGAUUAGAUACCCUGGUAGUCCACGCCGUAAACGAUGUCGACUAGCCGUUGGGGUCCUCGAGACCUUUGUGGCGCAGUUAACGCACUAAGUCGACCGCCUGGGGGAGUACGGCCGCAAGGUUAAAACUCAAAUGAAUUGACGGGGGCCCGCACAAGCGGUGGAGCAUGUGGUUUAAUUCGAUGCAACGCGAAGAACCUUACCUACCCUUGACAUCGUGCGAACUUUCCAGAGAUUGGAUUGGUGCCUUCGGGAGCGCACAGACAGGUGCUGCAUGGCUGUCGUCAGCUCGUGUUGUGAAAUGGUUGGGGUUAAGUCCCCGUAACGAGCGGCAA